CCCCACGGCUGUUGUCACCCUCCCCGCGGCCCUUUGUCACCUCCCCGGGGCGGUCGCUGCCGUGGCGCAGUCGCUGCUGUUGGCGUCGGCACCCCCAGGGCCACCGUUAGCGCCUCACGGGUGUUGUUGUCACCCCGCAGUGGCUGUUGUCACCUUUGCACAGCUGUUGUCACCUUCCCACACCUGUUGUCACCCUGCCCGGGGCCCUUCGUCACCUCCCCGGGGCGGUUGCUGCCGUGGCGCGGUCACUACCGUUGGCGUCGGCGCCCCCAGGGCCGCUGUUAGUGCCUCACGGGUGUUGUUGUCACCCCCCGGUGGUUGUUGUCACCUCCCCACGGCUGUUGUCACCCUCCCCGGUGCCCUUUGUCACCUCCCCAGGUGCUGUUGUCACCCCCCAGUAGCUGUUGUCACCUCCCCGCGGCUGUUGUCACCCCCCCCCGGUGCCCUUUGUUACCUCUCUGCGGCUGUUGUCACCCCCGUCGGUGUUGACACCUGCGUGGCCAUGACGUCACCGCUUUUACCACCCCCCCAGGGGCUGUUGUCACCCCCCCGGUGGCUGUUGUCACCCUCCUGGUGGCCUUUGUC
Molecule: long non-coding RNA, 585 nt
Filed under: Apteryx owenii (little spotted kiwi)
Lineage: Eukaryota; Metazoa; Chordata; Aves; Apterygiformes; Apterygidae
Description: lncRNA (ENSAOWG00000016829.1)
Source: RNAcentral